CAAUAGCGUAUAUUAAAGUUGUUGCAGUUAAAAAGCUCGUAGUUGGAUUUCUGGUGGGAGCGAUCGGUCUGGCGCUUAGCGCGAGUACUUGCAUCGUCUCCGGCCAUCCUUGGGGAGAGUCUGUCUGGCAUUAAGUUGUCGGGCAGAGGAUCCUCAUCGUUUACUGUGAAAAAAUUAGAGUGUUCAAAGCAGGCUUAUGCCGUUGAAUAUAUUAGCAUGGAAUAAUAAGAUAGGACUUUGGUACUAUUUUGUUGGUUUGCGCACCAAAGUAAUGAUUAAUAGGGACAGUUGGGGGUAUUCGUAUUCCGUUGUCAGGGGUGAAAUUCUUGGAUUUACGGAAGACGAACUACUGCGAAAGCAUUUACCAAGGAUGUUUUCAUUAA
RNAcentral lists this ribosomal RNA (383 nucleotides) under uncultured eukaryote. RNAcentral describes it as "partial 18S ribosomal RNA". It matches the Rfam family "Eukaryotic small subunit ribosomal RNA", at positions 592 to 976 of the family's 1831-position model. The record is from RNAcentral.